GACAGAGGAUGCAAGCGUUAUCCGGAAUGAUGGGGCGUAAAGCGUCUGUAGGUGGCUUUUUAAGUCUGCCGUCAAAUCCCAGGGCUUAACCCUGGACAGGCGGUGGAAACUACCAAGCUGGAGUACGGUAGGGGCAGAGGGAAUUUCCGGUGGAGCGGUGAAAUGCGUAGAGAUCGGAAAGAACACCAACGGCGAAGGCACUCUGCUGGGCCGGCACUGACACUGAGAGACGAAAGCUAGGGGAGCAAAUGGG
This 253-nucleotide ribosomal RNA is filed under the name uncultured bacterium. RNAcentral describes it as "partial 16S ribosomal RNA". It matches the Rfam family "Bacterial small subunit ribosomal RNA", at positions 524 to 776 of the family's 1533-position model. The record is from RNAcentral.